CCCUUAGAUGUUCUGGGCCGCACACGCGCUACACUGAAGGAGGCAGCGUGUACUCCUGGAUCGAAAGAUUUGGGUAACCCGCGAAUCUCCUUCGUGCUAGGGAUUGAGGUUUGCAAUUAUCCUUCAUGAACGAGGAAUUCCCAGUAAGCGCAAGUCAUAAGCUUGCGCUGACUACGUCCCUGCCCUUUGUACACACCGCCCGUCGCUACUACCGAUUGAAUGAUUUAGUGAGGACUUCGGACUGGGACCGAUGCGGCUUUCGGGCUGCGUCGGUAUUCUGGAAAGAUGUCCAAACUGUAUCAUUUAGAGGAAGUAAAANUCGUANCA
RNAcentral lists this ribosomal RNA (327 nucleotides) under uncultured eukaryote. RNAcentral's name for it is "partial 18S ribosomal RNA". It matches the Rfam family "Eukaryotic small subunit ribosomal RNA", at positions 1470 to 1796 of the family's 1831-position model. The record is from RNAcentral.